CACGUAGGGUGCGAGCGUUGUCCGGAAUUAUUGGGCGUAAAGAGCUCGUAGGCGGUGUGUCGCGUCGGCCGUGAAAACCUGCAGCUUAACUGUGGGCUUGCGGUCGAUACGGGCAUCACUGGAGUUCGGCAGGGGAGACUGGAAUUCCUGGUGUAGCGGUGAAAUGCGCAGAUAUCAGGAGGAACACCCGUGGCUAAGGCGGCUCUCUAGUACGGUACUGACGCUGAGACGCGGAAGCGUGGGGAGCGAACAGG
RNAcentral lists this ribosomal RNA (254 nucleotides) under uncultured bacterium. RNAcentral's name for it is "partial 16S ribosomal RNA". It matches the Rfam family "Bacterial small subunit ribosomal RNA", at positions 524 to 776 of the family's 1533-position model. The record is from RNAcentral.